UAAAGAAUUUCGGUAUGGGAUGGGGAUGCGUUCCAUUAGUUAGUUGGCGGGGUAACGGCCCACCAAGACAACGAUGGAUAGGGGUUCUGAGAGGAAGGUCCCCCACAUUGGAACUGAGACACGGUCCAAACUCCUACGGGAGGCAGCAGUGAGGAAUAUUGGUCAAUGGACGAGAGUCUGAACCAGCCAAGUAGCGUGAAGGAUGACUGCCCUAUGGGUUGUAAACUUCUUUUAUAUGGGAAUAAAAUGUUCCACGUGUGGGAUUUUGUAUGUACCAUAUGAAUAAGGAUCGGCUAACUCCGUGCCAGCAGCCGCGGUAAUACGGAGGAUCCGAGCGUUAUCCGGAUUUAUUGGGUUUAAAGGGAGCGUAGGUGGAUUGUUAAGUCAGUUGUGAAAGUUUGCGGCUCAACCGUAAAAUUGCAGUUGAAACUGGCAGUCUUGAGUACAGUAGAGGUGGGCGGAAUUCGUGGUGUAGCGGUGAAAUGCUUAGAUAUCACGAAGAACUCCGAUUGCGAAGGCAGCUCACUGGACUGCAACUGACACUGAGGCCCGAAAGUGUGGGUAUCAAACAGGAUUAGAUACCCUGGUAGUCCACACAGUAAACGAUGAAUACUCGCUGUUUGCGAUAUACAGUAA
RNAcentral lists this ribosomal RNA (636 nucleotides) under uncultured bacterium. RNAcentral's name for it is "bacterial SSU rRNA". It matches the Rfam family "Bacterial small subunit ribosomal RNA", at positions 202 to 842 of the family's 1533-position model. The record is from RNAcentral.